This 408-nucleotide ribosomal RNA is filed under the name uncultured bacterium. RNAcentral describes it as "bacterial SSU rRNA". It matches the Rfam family "Bacterial small subunit ribosomal RNA", at positions 355 to 760 of the family's 1533-position model. The record is from RNAcentral.
UGAGGAAUAUUGGGCAAUGCCCGCAAGGGUGACCCAGCAACGCCGCGUGGAGGAUGAAUGUCGUAAGAUUGUAAACUCCUGUUAGAGGGGAAGAAUAGUACCGGUUGGACCGGUAUAUGACUGUACCCUCAGAGAAAGCCCCGGCUAACUACGUGCCAGCAGCCGCGGUAAUACGUAGGGGGCAAGCGUUGUCCGGAUUUACUGGGUGUAAAGGGCGCGCAGGCGGGAUAAAAAGUCAGUGGUGAAAUCCUACAGCUUAACUGUAGAACUGCCUUUGAUACUUUUAUUCUUGAGUUCGGGAGAGAGAGACGGAAUUACAGGUGUAGUGGUGAAAUACGUAGAUAUCUGGAAGAACACCAGUUGCGAAGGCGGUCUCUUGGUCCGACACUGACGCUGAGGCGCGAAAGC